UUAAGCUAAUAAGGGCAUGCGGCGGAUGCCUUGGCGCUGGAAGACGAUGAAGGACGUGGUAAGCUGCGAUAAGUUCCGGGUAGGUGCAAACAACCGUUAAUCCGGAAAUCUCCGAAUGGGGCAACCCAUCCGAGGUAAACCUUGGAUGCGCCCUGCUGAAUACAUAGGCAGGAGCGCGGCAACCGGGGGAAGUGAACCAUCUCAGUACCCCGAGGAAGAGAAAUCAAACGAGAAUCCCUGAGUAGCGGCGAGCGAAACGGGACGAGCCUAAACCGAUAUGAUGUCAAGCCUGUCGGCGUUGUCAUAUCGGCGUUGUAGGGCGGAAUUUGGGAAGGCGGCAGACUUCCCGCCGCGAUUUGGUGUUAAGCUGAACGGACCUGGAAAGGCCGGCUAUAGAAGGUAACAGCCCUGUAAACGUAAUCACCAAAUUGCGGUAGUUUCGUUCCUGAGUAGUGCGGGACACGAGUAAUCCCGUAUGAAUCUGGGGGGUCCACCCUCCAAGGCUAAACACUCUCCAGCGACCGAUAGCGCAAAAGUACCGUGAGGGAAAGGUGAAAAGUACCCCAAUAAGGGGAGUGAAAUAGUACCUGAAACCGCAUGUCUACAAACAGUCGAAGCACGUGUGUUUUCGCCGUAAGGCGAAACCGUGCGACGGCGUGCCUUUUGCAGAAUGAGCCAGCGAGUUGCUCCCGCGUAGCAAGGUUAAUCCCCUCAGGGGAGGAGCCGGAGCGAAAGCGAGUCCUAACCGGGCGUUUAGUUUCGCGGGGCAGACCCGAAGCGGGAUGAUCUAUCCUUGGCCAGGGUGAAAGUCGGGUAACACCGACCGGAGGCCCGAACCAGUGUGCCUUAAAAAGCGCUUGGAUGAGCUGAGGAUGGGGGCGAAAGACCAAUCAAAUUCCGUGAUAGCUGGUUCUCUCCGAAAUGUUUAUAGGAACAGCCUCAAGCCUAUCGUGACGGUGGUAGAGCACUGGAUGGAAUAGGGGGCCUACAAGCCUACCGACCCCAACCAAACUCCGAAUGCCAUCACCUAACUGCUUGGGAGUGAGACUACGAGUGCUAAGAUCCGUGGUCAAAAGGGAAUGAACCCAGAUCCACAGCUAAGGUCCCUAAAUUGACGCUAAGUGGCGAAGGAUGUGGAACCUUUUAGACAACCAGGAUGUUGGCUUAGAAGCAGCCAUCAUUCAAAGAGUGCGUAACAGCUCACUGGUCAAAAGAUUCUGCGCCCAAAAUCACCGGGGCUCAAGCGUCAUACCGAAGCUUGGGGUCACGACUUUAAGUCGGGACGGUAGGAGAGCAUUCCAUGCGCUGAGAAGGCGGACCGUGAGGACCGCUGGAGCCGAUCAUGGAAGAGAGUAUGCUGGCAUUAGUAACGAUAAAACAGGUGAAAAACCUGUUCGCCGAAAAUCCAAGGUUUCCUGGGGAAGGUUAAUCCGCCCAGGGUUAGUCGGUCCCUAAGGCGAGGCCGCAAGGCGUAGCUGAUGGAAAGCAGGCGAAAAUUCCUGCACCACUUGGCGGGCGAUAAAGACACGGUGGGGCGACGCGGAAGGGUAAUCCUAAAGCCUGACGGAUGGCUUGCGAAACCUGUAGGUUGGGAGAUUGGCAAAUCCGUCUCCCGUUAAGACUGAGAGGAAUCGGGAAGAAGGACUACGGUCCAACGAACUGGAUGACCCCAUGCCGCCGAGAAAAACCUCGUUCCGUGAGUCCGCAGAGUGACCGUACCGUAAACGGACACACGUAGAUAAGGCGAGAAGCCUAAGGCGCUCGGGAUAACUCUGGAGAAGGAACUAGGCAAAAUAGCCCCGUAACUUCGGGAGAAGGGGUGCCCCCGCUACGUAAUGGGCCCGCGCCCAAAGCGGAAGGGGGUCGCAGUGACCAGGCUCAAGCGACUGUUUACCAAAAACACAGCACUCUGCCAAGUCGAAAGACGAUGUAUAGGGUGUGACGCCUGCCCGGUGCCGGAAGGUUAAAAGGCGGUGUUAGCUGGUUCUCGGAUCGGCGAAGCGCCAAAUUGAAGCCCCGGUAAACGGCGGCCGUAACUAUAACGGUCCUAAGGUAGCGAAAUUCCUUGUCGGGUAAGUUCCGACCCGCACGAAUGGCGUAACGAUUUGAGCGCUGUCUCCUCCAGAGGCCCGGUGAAGUUGAGCUACCAGUGAAGACGCUGGUUACCCGCAGCUGGACGGAAAGACCCCGGAACCUUUACUACAGCCUAAUAUUGGCGCCUGACUUGUCAUGUAGAGGAUAGGCAGGAGGCGUUGAAGCAGGGACGCUAGUCUCUGUGGAGCCAACCUUGGAAUACUGCCCUUGUCAUGUUAAGCGUCUAACCUGCGACCGUGAAUCCGGUCGAGGGACAGUGUUUGGUGGGUAGUUUAACUGGGGCGGUUGCCUCCCAAAAUGUAACGGAGGCGCGCGAAGGUGCUCUCAGAACGGUUGGCAAUCGUUCGUAGAGUGUAUUGGCACAAGAGCGCUUGACUGCGAGACCGACGGGUCAAGCAGAUGCGAAAGCAGGCCAAAGUGAUCCGGCGAUUCUGUGUGGAAGGGUCGUCGCUCAUCGGAUAAAAGGUACUCUGGGGAUAACAGGCUGAUCGCAUCCAAGAGUUCACAUCGACGAUGCGGUUUGGCACCUCGAUGUCGGCUCAUCGCAUCCUGGGGGUGUACAAGCUCCCAAGGGUUUGUCUGUUCGCCAAUUAAAGCGGUACGUGAGCUGGGUUCAGAACGUCGUGAGACAGUUCGGUCUCUAUCUACUGUGGGCGUAGGAGUUUUGAGGGGAGCUCUCCUUAGUACGAGAGGACCAGGAGGGACGGACCUCUGGUUUUCCGGUUGUGCCGCCAGGUGCAGCGCCGGGUAGCUAUGUUCGGAUCGGAUAACCGCUGAAGGCAUCUAAGCGGGAAGCCAACCCCAAGAUUAGAACUCCCUCUACCGCAAGGUGGACUGAAGGCACCAGGAAGACUACCUGGUUGAUAGGCUGGAUGUGGAAGCGCAGCAAUGCGUGAAGCUAACCAGUACUAAUAUGCCGUGCGGCUUAA
RNAcentral lists this ribosomal RNA (3023 nucleotides) under candidate division BRC1 bacterium ADurb.Bin183. Its description in RNAcentral is "bacterial LSU rRNA". It matches the Rfam family "Bacterial large subunit ribosomal RNA". The record is from RNAcentral. Lineage: Bacteria; Candidatus Sumerlaeota.